ACAAGCGGUGGAGCAUGUGGUUAAUUCGAAGCAACGCGAAGAACCUUACCAGGUCUUGACAUCCCCUCGACAACCCGAGAGAUCGGGCGGUUCCCCGUUCCGGGGGACGAGGGUGACAGGUGGUGCAUGGUUGUCGUCAGCUCGUGUCGUGAGAUGUUGGGUUAAGUCCCGCAACGAGCGCAACCCUCGACCUUAGUUGCCAGCAUUCAGUUGGGCACUCUAAGGUGACUGCCGGCUAAAAGUCGGAGGAAGGUGGGGAUGACGUCAAAUCAUCAUGCCCCUUAUGACCUGGGCUACACACGUGCUACAAUGGGCGGUACAAAGGGUCGCGAACCCGCGAGGGGGAGCCAAUCCCAAAAAGCCGCUCUCAGUUCGGAUUGCAGGCUGCAACUCGCCUGCAUGAAGCCGGAAUCGCUAGUAAUCGCGGAUCAGCAUGCCGCGGUGAAUACGUUCCCGGGCCUU
This 462-nucleotide ribosomal RNA is filed under the name uncultured Anoxybacillus sp. Its description in RNAcentral is "bacterial SSU rRNA". It matches the Rfam family "Bacterial small subunit ribosomal RNA", at positions 925 to 1382 of the family's 1533-position model. Lineage: Bacteria; Bacillati; Bacillota; Bacilli; Caryophanales; Anoxybacillaceae. The record is from RNAcentral.